Long non-coding RNA from Gavialis gangeticus (Gharial), 441 nucleotides. RefSeq lists it as uncharacterized. The record is from RefSeq and is a predicted model, not a curated record. NCBI's taxonomy places the organism in Eukaryota, Metazoa, Chordata, Crocodylia, Gavialidae. The transcript is spliced from 2 exons.
CAUGGCUACUGCUCCCGGAGCGAGGGGAGGGUCCCGGGGCAGCGCAGAGGCAUGGAGGCGCCGACGCCGGGGGGAAGACGAGGAGCUGCCCAGCUUCCUUCUCUCUCGCCUUCCCUCUGAUCUCCUGCCUCCGAGCCCGGCCGCCCCCGCCCCCGCGCCGCGCGAUCUCCGCGGACUGUCUGACGGCACCAGGAUCACCUCCAAGAAUUUGAUAAGGACUUUGCUGGGCCGCCAGCCAGUCAGAGGGAAGAUUUAUGGCUUUGAAGUUUGCCGCUACCCAAUCAUCAAAGAAUAGCGGCUCUUUCAGAAGCGAAAGCAAAUCCUUUGAAUCCACAAAGCUCCUAUGGCCCCCUUACCGCCUGGAGACCCUCGCAUUGGAUGCUCGAGACACUGGAUCCCCUCCCCCACCUUUUUUUGUUGCAAUUAAGGAUUUGUAGCAGA